CGUCUGUUUCCCGGAAAGCUACAGACUCGUUGGUCUGGACCAUUUCAAAUCGGACAAGUCUUUCCAUAUGGAGUGGUAGAGUUGCAUCAUCCAGAGAAGGGGAACUUCAAAGUGAACGGCCAUCGGCUAAAGCGAUAUCAUUGUAACUCGUUGGAUAGUGAGCAACGAGUUGACUUGGCUUUGUAUGCACAGAAAGGGUGAUCCGAAUGAGUCACGCUUAAGACUCUGCAAAUAAGCACUUCUAUACAUUCGACUUGGAUUAUACUUUCAUGUUUUUAAUUAGUUAUGAUUGUUUCAUUAUUUUCAUUUGACUUUAUUAUAGUUGCUUAAAAAUAAUUAGGUUAAUUUUAAUUUUUCGGACUUAUAGAAUCGAAGAGGACAAACUCUUAUGUUUGACCAUAUCUACUUGUUUAAUGAUCUAAUUACAUGCAUAUGUGUUAAUUAUAGGUAUGGGGGCAAGGCGACUCGAGUCGGCAAAAGGCAAGCCUAGAAAAACUCCGUUUCACCACGGUUUCCGUGGCCAUCACGGGCUGCAUCACCAGGCCGUGCUGAUGAGCACGGCCAGAGUCAAGACCGUGUUGAAGAAUAAAGAGUAAUUAUCACGGCUUCCGAAGGCAGCACGGGACACAACCCCUAGCCGUGUUGGGAAGCACGGCCGUGCCAACGCCCGUGCCAAGGAGCAUCCAAAGAAGGCUAAAGGAUCAGCACGGGCUGAGUCCUAGCCGUGCUUAUCAGCACGGCCUUACCCUCACCCGUGCUGAAACCGUGCCUAUAAGAAGUGGAGGCCUCCGAAAAUUUUACUUCCCUUUUGUUUUUCUCAGCUCAAAGGUGUUGUUCUUAUACCCCUAUCUCACCCUUCUCACUUUCCUAAGUGAACUCAGGUAAGUCCCUUCAUUUGUUGCAUUAUAUUUUUAUUAUUAUUAUGAUUUCACUUCUAUUUUAGACAUAUACUUUUGUUAGGACAUGCUAGGAUAUUUUGGUGGCUCUAUAUUGUAACUAUAUGACCUUGGUUAGGUUAAUCUACAUUAGUUGUUGUGUUUGUGGUGUAGUUGGUUAUGAAAUUGAUAAGUGUGGG
RNAcentral lists this long non-coding RNA (1075 nucleotides) under Ricinus communis (castor bean). Its description in RNAcentral is "long non-coding RNA (RCOM_LNC003564)". Lineage: Eukaryota; Viridiplantae; Streptophyta; Magnoliopsida; Malpighiales; Euphorbiaceae. The record is from RNAcentral.